RNAcentral lists this ribosomal RNA (253 nucleotides) under uncultured bacterium. RNAcentral describes it as "partial 16S ribosomal RNA". It matches the Rfam family "Bacterial small subunit ribosomal RNA", at positions 524 to 776 of the family's 1533-position model. The record is from RNAcentral.
UACGUAGGUGGCAAGCGUUGUUCGGAAUUACUGGGCGUAAAGCGCGUGUAGGCGGCUCUUCAAGUCAGACGUGAAAGCCCCGGGCUUAACUCGGGAACUGCGUUUGAUACUGUCGAGCUAGAGUGUGGAAGGGGCGAUUGGAAUUCCGUGUGUAGCGGUGAAACGCGUAGAUAUACGGAGGAACACCAGGGGCGAAGGCGGAUCGCUGGGCCAACACUGACGCUGAGACGCGAAAGCUAGGGGAGCAAACGGG